GCAGCCUGAUGCAGCAACGCCGCGUGAGGGACGACGGCCUUCGGGUUGUAAACCUCUUUUGGCAGGGAAGAAGCGAAAGUGACGGUACCUGCAGAAAAAGCACCGGCUAACUACGUGCCAGCAGCCGCGGUAAUACGUAGGGUGCAAGCGUUGUCCGGAAUUAUUGGGCGUAAAGAGCUCGUAGGCGGUUUGUCGCGUCUGCUGUGAAAACGCGAGGCUCAACCUCGCGCCUGCAGUGGGUACGGGCAGACUAGAGUGCGGUAGGGGAGAUUGGAAUUCCUGGUGUAGCGGUGGAAUGCGCAGAUAUCAGGAGGAACACCGAUGGCGAAGGCAGAUCUCUGGGCCGUUACUGACGCUGAGGAGCGAAAGCGUGGGGAGCGAACAGGAUUAGAUACCCUGGUAGUCCACGCCGUAAACGUUGGGAACUAGAUGUGGGGUCCAUUCCACGGAUUCCGUGUCGCAGCUAACGCAUUAAGUUCCCCGCCUGGGGAGUACGGCCGCAAGGCUAAAACUCAAAGGAAUUGACGGGGGCCCGCACAAGCGGCGGAGCAUGCGGAUUAAUUCGAUGCAACGCGAAGAACCUUACCAAGGCUUGACAUGCACCUGAAAAGGCUGGAAACAGUCUCCUCGCAAGACAG
This 638-nucleotide ribosomal RNA is filed under the name Amnibacterium sp. Ri2Pt_3920. RNAcentral describes it as "bacterial SSU rRNA". It matches the Rfam family "Bacterial small subunit ribosomal RNA", at positions 378 to 1029 of the family's 1533-position model. Lineage: Bacteria; Bacillati; Actinomycetota; Actinomycetes; Micrococcales; Microbacteriaceae. The record is from RNAcentral.